Long non-coding RNA from Panthera uncia (snow leopard), 187 nucleotides. RefSeq lists it as uncharacterized. Lineage: Eukaryota; Metazoa; Chordata; Mammalia; Carnivora; Felidae. The record is from RefSeq and is a predicted model, not a curated record. The transcript has 2 exons.
GCUGAAGAUCAGGAUUCACCACAUGGAACAAAUGUAGCCUGGUCACAGAAAGCAACUGAUAGCACGGUGGUGAAGGAUGUAGACGGUCAUGAAACCAAACAGGAAAUUUGAAAGGACAUGAUUCCUCAAGAGACUUGACGGCAUCCCUUCAUACGAGGACCCGCGGACCCUGUGAGGCCAGCGACAC